RNAcentral lists this ribosomal RNA (497 nucleotides) under uncultured bacterium. Its description in RNAcentral is "partial 16S ribosomal RNA". It matches the Rfam family "Bacterial small subunit ribosomal RNA", at positions 28 to 507 of the family's 1533-position model. The record is from RNAcentral.
GAUGAACGCUGGCGGCGUGCCUAAUACAUGCAAGUCGAGCGAACGGACGAGAAGCUUGCUUUUCUGGUGUUAGCGGCGGACGGGUGAGUAACACGUGGAUAACCUACCUAUAAGACUGGGAUAACUUCGGGAAACCGGAGCUAAUACCGGAUAAUAUUUUGAACCGCAUGGUUCAAAAGUGAAAGACGGUCUUGCUGUCACUUAUAGAUGGAUCCGCGCUGCAUUAGCUAGUUGGUAAGGUAACGGCUUACCAAGGCAACGAUGCAUAGCCGACCUGAGAGGGUGAUCGGCCACACUGGAACUGAGACACGGUCCAGACUCCUACGGGAGGCAGCAGUAGGGAAUCUUCCGCAAUGGGCGAAAGCCUGACGGAGCAGCGCCGCGUGAGUGAUGAAGGUCUUCGGAUCGUAAAACUCUGUUAUUAGGGAAGAACAUAUGUGUAAGUAACUGUGCACAUCUUGACGGUGCCUAAUCAGAAAGCCACGGCUAACUACGUG